GAAUAUUGCACAAUGGGGGAAACCCUGAUGCAGCGACGCCGCGUGAGUGUAGAAGUAUUUCGGUAUGUAAAGCUCUAUCAGCCGGGAAGAAAAUGACGGUACCUGACUAAGAAGCCCCGGCUAACUACGUGCCCGCCGCCGCGGUAAUACGGAGGGGGCAAGCGUUAUCCGGAUUUACUGGGUGUAAAGGGAGCGUAGGUGGCAAAUCAAGUCAGAUGUGAAAGCCCGGGGCUCAACCCCGGGAUUGCAUUUGAAACUGGUAUGCUAGAGUGCAGGAGAGGUAAGUGGAAUUCCUAGUGUAGCGGUGAAAUGCGUAGAUAUUAGGAGGAACACCAGUGGCGAAGGCGGCUUACUGGACUGUAACUGACACUGAGGCUCGAAAGCGUGGGGAGCAAACAGG
This 400-nucleotide ribosomal RNA is filed under the name uncultured bacterium. Its description in RNAcentral is "bacterial SSU rRNA". It matches the Rfam family "Bacterial small subunit ribosomal RNA", at positions 359 to 776 of the family's 1533-position model. The record is from RNAcentral.